Molecule: long non-coding RNA, 187 nt
Organism: Macrobrachium nipponense
Lineage: Eukaryota; Metazoa; Arthropoda; Malacostraca; Decapoda; Palaemonidae
Exons: 2
Source: RefSeq, a predicted model, not a curated record
GCUUAGACACUGAACAGAGAGUAAGAAGUGAGGAUUUUAACCCAGUGAUUAGAGAAGAGGUGAAGGAAUUAUGGGAGAAAGAAAAACGUAACAACGAAAUAAGAAAAGAAACCAUAUACUUGAUGUGGAAAAAAAGAGAGAAAAAAAGGAAAGAGCUAAACAAAUAAACAAACAAAAACAAAAAAUA